This is an RNA transcript of Papaver somniferum (opium poppy), 2148 nucleotides long. RefSeq lists it as uncharacterized. NCBI's taxonomy places the organism in Eukaryota, Viridiplantae, Streptophyta, Magnoliopsida, Ranunculales, Papaveraceae. The record is from RefSeq and is a predicted model, not a curated record. The transcript is spliced from 11 exons.
AAUAAAGAAUUCAUAAAAUAAAGAAAUUUCUUUAUUUUUCCCAAAAAGGAAAACGAAAAACAAUCGAGAGAAAAAAAAAAACUAAAAAAAAUCUUUCUCCAUCGCGUCUCUUUUCUUCUCCGUUCCUUAUUUUUCAAGUUCUUUUUGAGAAGGAAGACUACUGCAGUUGUUUUGUAGGAGGAUUUGUCUGGAGCUGCUGCUGGUGUUUAAAUUAGGGUUUCAAUUUUGAGGGACUGUUGAAUGGAUGUUAUGACAUGAUGGUGAUGGUGUUUGUGGCUAUUUUUCAUCAUGAUUGGUAAGGUUUUAUUAUCUUAUGAGUAGUAUUAUGUGUGCGUAGGCUAGCAAAUCCCUGUGGUGGCAGAAGUAUGCUCCCUUUUGUGAAGAAGUGUCCAGGUGCAUCUCUGAGGAUUGUAAAUUUUGAGCAUGUUGUACUGCUAAAAUGGUAGUUUUCUCUUGCUAAGAAUUCUUUGGCACCUAUGUUUGCGUUUCCAAAUUAAAGAUUGCUAUUAUCCUGUGGUGAACCCAUGUCCUGUGGUGGCAGAAGUAUGCUCCCUUUUGUGAAGAAGUGUCAAGUUCAGCUGGUGAUCUACAUGAUAUGGCCUCCCUGACUUUUGAAACUGAGUUGUUUGGUAUUCUGAGGCUGAUAUACUUUGAUAGGGAAUCUGAAAAAGGGAGUAAUUCUUUUGCCAUGCAAUUCUCAAAAGGAUCAGAUACGAUUCAUAAUUUGUUGGUAAACCCUAACCCUAAUGUGUGUUGAUUUUAUUUUCGAGGUAAGUUAUUUUCUCAAAAAAACAUCUAUUCCAGUUAUUUUAUCCGCCACAUCCCUUCCUCUUCCUCGCUCUUUCUUAGUCCCCUCCCGGCUUCUACCUAUUUUUAAUCGUUAUGCUUUCUUUUUCGUUCUGCCAAUUGAGUUAUUUUCCUCUUCGUAUAUUGUAAUAUUGAUUCAGUGUUUUAUUGAUUUGUUAACAGCUGCGAAACGAGAAUUCUCAACCAGGUACGAUUUUACUGAAACGGAUAGUUUGGAUCUAUUCUGCAGGUUGGCAAGGAAAGGCAAGGCUUUUAAAGACCUGGAAGUAUGGAAACCUUAAAACCAAUGAGCUACAUGGAAUGAAUAUGAAUGAACUUAAUGGAUGAUAAAGGAUAGACCUGAAGGUAACUUUGUGCGAAAAUGGAGCAAAUCAGUAGAGUGGGAGGUGACAAACGAACAUGGAAGCGCGCCGAUAAUUGUUAUAAUCACUGCAACGUUCGUGAAAGAGGUUCAAGGUGCUCAGAAAGAAAGGGGAUAUGGUCAUACAGAUGCCAUGACUUAUGCCUUGCUUGAGGUUUAUUACACAAGUUUGUCGUUGACAUAUAUGGAAUGCUUCAAUGGAAGGUUGAACCUUCGAUAUCUGCAGAAAAACCUACUUCAGCAAUAGUUCUUUGCUUCAACUGAAAGGCUGAAGGUUGUUAGACAAAUGAUAAUGACUGGAGCGCUGGAACACAGAAAAGUUGCAUAGGACUUGCAUUUUUCCUACCAGCUAUCUAACUUAAAUGGGAUCUUCAUAUCUUAAAAGUCUAUUGCUGUUACUUCAAAUUCUUAAAAGUCUGUCUGUUACUUAGAAAUAUGAAGUCCUAGAUCUGCCAAAUCUAUUGCUGGAUUGAAAUUUUUUCUCAUGUAAUGCAGGAAGCAUUUUGGAGGGUGUAUGAAUGGAAGUUCAUGAAUUGCCUUGAGUUUUGAACAAGUGUUGUCUGUGCAUACAGUUCUGAACCUGACUUCCGGCCCUUGGCUUAUCUCUUUGCUCAAUCACGUUGCUUCUUCUUUGGGUACUUUCAUUCCUGAAUUUUUACUGACGAUGAACAACCAUCCAUAUUAAAGCGUACUACGGAUUCUGGUGAUGAUGUCCAUGCGGUUUCUGGAAUUGAUGCGCAGUUACUCAUUAAGAAAUUAAUGCACACACUAUGAAAUUAGAAUAACACAUUAGUAGUUUGUUCUUUUCCCUGUUUUUAUAACUUCUGUGGUAGUUCAAAUAGUUAGGACAGCCAAUACGUUAGGAUUCCAUGUUUAUUAAUGCUUGCACUCUGAAGUGCAACUAUCAUUCAUCUAUUGCAGUCCAAUUAUUCUGUCAUUUCUACAAUAUUAUGCAUUGUUUACCUAUUGAAUAGGCUCUA